GCAGCGGGCGCGCAAAUUACCCAAUCCCGACACAGGGAGGUAGUGACAAAAAAUAACAAUACCGGUCUUAUUUAAGUCUGGUAAUUGGAAUGAGUACAAUCUAAAUCCU
This 109-nucleotide ribosomal RNA is filed under the name Neoparamoeba sp. RNAcentral's name for it is "partial small subunit ribosomal RNA". It matches the Rfam family "Eukaryotic small subunit ribosomal RNA", at positions 425 to 533 of the family's 1831-position model. The record is from RNAcentral. Lineage: Eukaryota; Discosea; Flabellinia; Dactylopodida; Paramoebidae.